GCGCGUACGGUGCGGACACGUGUGCACCUGCCUUUAUCUGGGGGAUAGCUUUCGAAAGAGAUUAUACCCAUAUAUGUGAUGGCUCAUUCGACACUGAAAACUCCGGUGAUAAGAUGGCCGCGCAAAUAAUAUUGUGAGGUACGGGGUCACCACUCUUCACUUUGGGGGCCGGAAAGGGUUUUCCCCCCCCUGGUUCUGGAACACGGCCAAAUCCUAAGGGGGGCACGUGGAGGAUUUUUGGGCCAAUGGGUGAGAGCUGAUCCAGCCAUCCCGCGUGAAGGAAGACUGCCUAUGGGUUGUAAAACUUCUUUUGUAUAGGGAUAAACCUAACCUCGGUGGAGGUAGCUGAAGUACUAUACGAAUAAGCACCGGUAACUCCGUGCCAGCAGCCGCGGUAAUACGAGGGUGCAAAACGUUAUCCCGGGAAUUUAUUGGGGUUAAAAGGGUCGGUAGCGGAUCUGUAAGUCAGUGGUGAAAUCUCACAGUUAACUGUGAAACUGNCAUUGAUACUGCGAGGUCUUGAGUGUUGUUGAAGUAGCUGGAAUAAGUAGUGUACGGUGAAAUGCUAGAUUUACUUAGAACACCAAUUGGGAAAGGAGG
Molecule: ribosomal RNA, 600 nt
Filed under: uncultured bacterium
Lineage: Bacteria
Description: bacterial SSU rRNA
Rfam family: Bacterial small subunit ribosomal RNA
Source: RNAcentral